This 96-nucleotide ribosomal RNA is filed under the name Carlito syrichta (Philippine tarsier). The record is from RNAcentral. Lineage: Eukaryota; Metazoa; Chordata; Mammalia; Primates; Tarsiidae.
GUCUAUAGCCCUACCAUCCUGAAUGCACCUGAUCUCGGUCAUGCCUGGUUAGUGUUUGGAGGUGAGACCACCUGGGAGUACCAGGUGCUGUAGGCU